GCAGCCUGAUCCAGCCAUGCCGCGUGCAGGAUGACGGUCCUAUGGAUUGUAAACUGCUUUUAUACGAGAAGAAACACUGAUUCGUGUAUCACCUUGACGGUAUUGUAAGAAUAAGGAUCGGCUAACUCCGUGCCAGCAGCCGCGGUAAUACGGAGGAUCCAAGCGUUAUCCGGAAUCAUUGGGUUUAAAGGGUCCGUAGGCGGUUUGGUAAGUCAGUGGUGAAAGCCCAUCGCUCAACGGUGGAACGGCCAUUGAUACUGCCAGACUUGAAUUAUUAGGAAGUAACUAGAAUAUGUAGUGUAGCGGUGAAAUGCUUAGAGAUUACAUGGAAUACCAAUUGCGAAGGCAGGUUACUACUAAUGGAUUGACGCUGAUGGACGAAAGCGUGGGUAGCGAACAGGAUUAGAUACCCUGGUAGUCCACGCCGUAAACGAUGGAUACUAGCUGUUGGAAGCAAUUUCAGUGGCUAAGCGAAAGUGAUAAGUAUCCCACCUGGGGAGUACGUUCGCAAGAAUGAAACUCAAAGGAAUUGACGGGGGCCCGCACAAGCGGUGGAGCAUGUGGUUUAAUUCGAUGAUACGCGAGGAACCUUACCAAGGCUUAAAUGUAGAUUGACCGGUUUGGAAACAGAUCUUUC
This 637-nucleotide ribosomal RNA is filed under the name Flavobacterium sp. Ri1Ps_4687. RNAcentral's name for it is "bacterial SSU rRNA". It matches the Rfam family "Bacterial small subunit ribosomal RNA", at positions 378 to 1016 of the family's 1533-position model. The record is from RNAcentral. Lineage: Bacteria; Pseudomonadati; Bacteroidota; Flavobacteriia; Flavobacteriales; Flavobacteriaceae.